RNAcentral lists this ribosomal RNA (449 nucleotides) under uncultured organism. Its description in RNAcentral is "partial 16S ribosomal RNA". It matches the Rfam family "Bacterial small subunit ribosomal RNA", at positions 334 to 799 of the family's 1533-position model. The record is from RNAcentral.
CACUCCUACGGGAGGCAGCAGUGGGGAAUAUUGGACAAUGGGCGCAAGCCUGAUCCAGCCAUGCCGCGUGAGUGAUGAAGGCCCUCGGGUUGUAAAGCUCUUUCACCGGUGAAGAUAAUGACGGUAACCGGAGAAGAAGCCCCGGCUAACUUCGUGCCAGCAGCCGCGGUAAUACGAAGGGGGCUAGCGUUGUUCGGAUUUACUGGGCGUAAAGCGCACGUAGGCGGACUAUUAAGUCAGGGGUGAAAUCCCGGGGCUCAACCCCGGAACUGCCUUUGAUACUGGUAGUCUUGAGUUCGAGAGAGGUGAGUGGAAUUCCGAGUGUAGAGGUGAAAUUCGUAGAUAUUCGGAGGAACACCAGUGGCGAAGGCGGCUCACUGGCUCGAUACUGACGCUGAGGUGCGAAAGCGUGGGGAGCAAACAGGAUUAGAAACCCCAGUAGUCCCAUG